This 228-nucleotide long non-coding RNA is filed under the name Mytilus galloprovincialis (Mediterranean mussel). Lineage: Eukaryota; Metazoa; Mollusca; Bivalvia; Mytilida; Mytilidae. The record is from RNAcentral.
GGGGUUUUUGCGUGCAAGAUGGCUGUCAUAGUCAUAAAAAAUCUUUGAGGGGGCCUUCAAAUACAUUUUAAUGUUGUUUUUUGGCUUCUUCAUACUUUUAUAAGCUUAAAGUCAUUGUAAAACUAAUUGUUUUGUUUAAAACUGUGGACAAAAUUGAUCUUUCAAAAUUUCAAUUUGGGAGCCUCCAUGGGGGAAAUCCCCCGCAAAUAGUGACAGUUGGCAGGUAUG